CCUACGGGUGGCAGCAGUGGGGAAUAUUGCACAAUGGGGGAAACCCUGAUGCAGCGACGUCGCGUGAGUGAAGAAGUAUUUCGGUAUGUAAAGCCCUGUCAGCAGGGAAGAAAAUGACGGUACCUGACCAAGUAGCCCCGGCUAACUACGUGCCAGCAGCCGCGGUAAUACGUAGGGGGCAAGCGUUAUCCGGAUUUACUGGGUGUAAAGGGAGCGUAGACGGCAGGGCAGGUCUGGAGUGAAAGGCGGGGGCUGAACCCUCGGACUGCUCUGGAAACUGGCAGGCUGGAGUGCAGUAGAGGUGAGUGGAAUUCCUAGUGUAGCGGUGAAAUGCGUAGAUAUUAGGAAGAACACCAGGUGCGAAGGCAGCUUACUGGACUGUAACUGACGUUGAGGCUCGAAAGCGUGGGGAGCAAACAGGAUUAGAUACCCGAGUAGUC
This 440-nucleotide ribosomal RNA is filed under the name uncultured bacterium. RNAcentral describes it as "partial 16S ribosomal RNA". It matches the Rfam family "Bacterial small subunit ribosomal RNA", at positions 338 to 795 of the family's 1533-position model. The record is from RNAcentral.